Non-coding RNA from Chelonoidis abingdonii (Abingdon island giant tortoise), 103 nucleotides. NCBI's taxonomy places the organism in Eukaryota, Metazoa, Chordata, Testudines, Testudinidae. The record is from RefSeq and is a predicted model, not a curated record.
UAGUUGUGAGUGAGGACAAAGUUCAGCCACUAGGUUAGCUGUGAUGUUAUCGGGGAUACUAUUCUUGAUGGCUUGUAAUCCAUCUUUGUGAAUCCAUUUCCCU